GCCUCUGUAGCUCAAUGGACAGAGCGACUCCCUUCUAAGGAGUAGGUUGCAGGUUCGAAUCCUGCCAGAGGCACCA
Molecule: transfer RNA, 76 nt
Filed under: Candidatus Saccharimonadota bacterium
Lineage: Bacteria; Candidatus Saccharimonadota
Description: tRNA-Arg
Rfam family: tRNA
About the family: Transfer RNA (tRNA) molecules are approximately 80 nucleotides in length. Their secondary structure includes four short double-helical elements and three loops (D, anti-codon, and T loops).
Source: RNAcentral